This is a non-coding RNA of Equus caballus (horse), 610 nucleotides long. NCBI's taxonomy places the organism in Eukaryota, Metazoa, Chordata, Mammalia, Perissodactyla, Equidae. The record is from RefSeq and is a predicted model, not a curated record.
GGGCGGGGCCCGGCGGGGCGGGGCCAUUGGAGAUCGCCGCCCUACUGAGGAGCUGAUUGCGAGAGUGUCCUCGCUGCGUUUUUCCUCCCCGGGCGGACGAGGAGGUUUCUGUCGCCAGAAACACCUGCGAAGAGGAGUCGGGGGUGUUGACUCGUGAUAGAGAGGAGGAAACUGAGGCCCCGGGGAGGUCCUGCGAGUGGGUAACUGAGGCUCAGAGAGCCCGCCUCACUUGUGCACAGCUGAGAAGCGGUCAAGGCAGAAUCGGAACCCAGAUGAUUAGGGCAGGUCUCCCAGGAGGUAACAUUGAAGCUGAGACCUCUGAGGAAUGAGAAGGAGUGGUCUGUUGGAAAUUCGAAGAGGUUUCUGGGCAUUUGGAACAGCAAGUGCAAAAAUCUUAAGGUGGAAAAAGUUAAAUGUGUUCCAGGAGCAGCAAGAAGAUCACUGUAGCUGGAGCAGACUGAAAGAUGAUGACCAGCAUCUGGAGAAGGCAAGGCCUCAAGAUGGAAGAUUCCUGGGUGGAGGAGAACUCGGCCCCAUCGACCUAAUCUUACACCUAGGACUGAUGUAUGAGAAAAAAAAAAUAAACCUACAUUAUUAUAUUGAGCUUUUA